UGAUAGGGCGAUCUGGCUGCAACAUCUGUCACCCCAUUGAUCACCAGGGUUGAUUCGGCUGAUCUGGCUGGCUAGGUGGGUGUCCCCUUCCUCCCUCAUCGCUCCAUGUGCGUCCCUCCCGAAGGCUGCAGCUGCGUGCUCUUUGGAAGAGGACGACCUUCCCCGAUAGAGGAGGACCUUUCUUUGGUCAAGGGUAUACGAGUAGCUGCGCUCCCCUGCUAGAACCUCCAAACAAGCUCUCAAGGUGGCUCACACUUGUAAUCCCAGGGCUCAGGAGGCUGAAGCAGGAGGCUUGAUAGUUCAAAGCCAGCCU
Molecule: small nuclear RNA, 313 nt
Filed under: Marmota monax (woodchuck)
Lineage: Eukaryota; Metazoa; Chordata; Mammalia; Rodentia; Sciuridae
Description: 7SK RNA
Rfam family: 7SK RNA
About the family: 7SK was discovered as an abundant small nuclear RNA in the mid-70s but a possible function has only recently been suggested. Two independent studies have found that 7SK RNA binds the CDK9/cyclin T complex (known as elongation factor P-TEFb).
Source: Rfam by way of RNAcentral